Molecule: ribosomal RNA, 468 nt
Filed under: uncultured bacterium
Lineage: Bacteria
Description: partial 16S ribosomal RNA
Rfam family: Bacterial small subunit ribosomal RNA
Source: RNAcentral
GACGAACGCUGGCGGCGUGCUUAACACAUGCAAGUCGAACGGUAAGGCCGUGCCUUUGUGGCGUGCUCGAGUGGCGAACGGGUGAGUAACACGUGAGUAACCUGCCCUUGUCUUUGGGAUAACUUCAGGAAACUGGGGCUAAUACCGGAUAGGAGCUCCUCAUGCAUGGUGGGGGUUGGAAAAUGUCGGGGGUUGGGGUUGGUCUGCCGGCUGCUUAGCUGGUUGGUGGGGGAGUGGUUUACGACGGGUUCGACGGGUAGUCGGCGUGGGGGGGUGACCGGCGACAUUGGGACUGAGAUACGGCCGAGGGUCGUACGGGGGACAGCAGUGGGAAAUAUGACAGAAUGAUCCAGAGCCGGAUGCAGCAACGUGGCGUGCGUGAGGUCGUCCUUUGGGUUUUAAACCGCUUAAGGCUGAGACGUAGCUGUGUUGACGGUAAUGGGUAAAGAAGCACCGGCUAACUACGUG